This 303-nucleotide ribosomal RNA is filed under the name uncultured bacterium. RNAcentral's name for it is "partial 16S ribosomal RNA". It matches the Rfam family "Bacterial small subunit ribosomal RNA", at positions 507 to 807 of the family's 1533-position model. The record is from RNAcentral.
AGCAGUAGCCGCGGGAAUACGUAGGGCGCAAGCGUUAUCCGGAAUUAUUGGGCGUAAAGAGCUCGUAGGCGGUUUGUCGCGUCUGCCGUGAAAGUCCGGGGCUCAACCCCGGAUCUGCGGUGGGUACGGGCAGACUAGAGUGAUGUAGGGGAGACUGGAAUUCCUGGUGUAGCGGUGAAAUGCGCAGAUAUCAGGAGGAACACCGAUGGCGAAGGCAGGUCUCUGGGCAUUAACUGACGCUGAGGAGCGAAAGCAUGGGGAGCGAACAGGAUUAGAUACCCGCGUAGUCCCUGUCUCUUAUAC